RNAcentral lists this Y RNA (111 nucleotides) under Aotus nancymaae (Ma's night monkey). Its description in RNAcentral is "Y RNA (ENSANAG00000008105.1)". It matches the Rfam family "Y RNA". From Rfam's summary of the family: Y RNAs are components of the Ro ribonucleoprotein particle (Ro RNP), in association with Ro60 and La proteins. The Y RNAs and Ro60 and La proteins are well conserved, but the function of the Ro RNP is not known. The record is from Rfam by way of RNAcentral. Lineage: Eukaryota; Metazoa; Chordata; Mammalia; Primates; Aotidae.
GGGUGGUCCAAAGGUAGUGAGUUAUCUCAAUUGAUUGUUUACAGUCAGUUACAGAUGGUACUCCUUGUUCUACUCUCCCCCCUUCUCACUACUGCACUUGACCAGUCUUUU